ACGGUCCUAAGGUAGCGAAAUUCCUUGUCGGGUAAGUUCCGACCCGCACGAAAGGUGUAACGAUUUGGGCACUGUCUCAACGAGGGACCCGGUGAAAUUGAAAUACCUGUGAAGAUGCAGGUUACCCGCGACUGGACAGAAAGACCCCAUGGAGCUUUACUGUAACCUGACAUUGGGUUUUGAUACAUUACGUACAGGAUAGGUGGGAGGCAUGGAAAGCUGGACGCUAGUCUGGCUGGAGCCGACGUUGGGAUACCACCCUUGAUGUAUUGAAAUUCUAACCGCGAGAGUAACGAAAUCCGGGACAGUGUCAGGCGGGCAGUUUGACUGGGGCGGUCGCCUCCGAAAGAGUAACGGAGGCGCCCAAAGGUUCCCUCAGGCCGGACAGAAACCGGCCGAAGAGUGCAAAGGCAGAAGGGAGCUUGACUGCGAGACCAACAAGUCGAGCAGAGACGAAAGUCGGGCUUAGUGAUCCGGUGGUACUGAGUGGAAAGGCCAUCGCUCAACGGAUAAAAGCUACCCUGGGGAUAACAGGCUAAUCUCUCCCAAGAGUUCAUAUCGACGGGGAGGUUUGGCACCUCGAUGUCGGCUCAUCACAUCCUGGGGCUGGAGUAGGUCCCAAGGGUUGGGCUGUUCGCCCAUUAAAGUGGUACGCGAGCUGGGUUCAAAACGUCGUGAGACAGUUUGGUUCAUAUCCAUCGCGGGCGCAAGAAGUUUGAGAGGAGCUGCUCCUAGUACGAGAGGACCGGAGUGGACGGAUCAACGGUGUCCCAGUUGUCACGCCAGUGGCACGGCUGGAAAGCCGCAUCCGGGAAGGAUAAACGCUGAAAGCAUCUAAGCGCGAAGCCAACCUCAAGAUGAGACUUCUCAUCAGCAAUGAGUAAGACCCCUUACAGACGAUGAGGUAGAUAGGUUAUGAGUGGAAGAGCCGCAAGGCUUGGAGCGACAUAAAACUAAUAGGUCGAGGUCUUAACUUA
This 977-nucleotide ribosomal RNA is filed under the name human gut metagenome. Its description in RNAcentral is "bacterial LSU rRNA". It matches the Rfam family "Bacterial large subunit ribosomal RNA", at positions 1945 to 2925 of the family's 2925-position model. The record is from RNAcentral.